UACGUAGGUGGCAAGCGUUGUCCGGAUUUAUUGGGUUUAAAGGGUGCGUAGGCGGCCUUGUAAGUCAGUGCUGAAAUAUCCCGGCUUAACCGGGAGGGUGGCAUUGAUACUGCAGGGCUUGAGUAAAGUUGAGGUUGGCGGAAUUGACGGUGUAGCGGUGAAAUGCUUAGAUAUUGUCAAGAACACCGACAGUGAAGACAGCUAACUAAGCUUUAACUGACGCUGAGGCACGAAAGUGUGGGGAUCAAACAGG
RNAcentral lists this ribosomal RNA (253 nucleotides) under uncultured bacterium. RNAcentral's name for it is "partial 16S ribosomal RNA". It matches the Rfam family "Bacterial small subunit ribosomal RNA", at positions 524 to 776 of the family's 1533-position model. The record is from RNAcentral.